CGGGGGGAGCAAGCGUUGUUCGGAUUUACUGGGCGUAAAGGGCGCGUAGGCGGCCACCGCAAGUCAGUUGUGAAAUCUCUGGGCUUAACCCAGAAAGGUCAACUGAUACUGCGGGGCUAGAGUGCAGAAGGGGCAACUGGAAUUCUCGGUGUAGCGGUGAAAUGCGUAGAUAUCGAGAGGAACACCUGCGGCGAAGGCGGGUUGCUGGGCUGACACUGACGCUGAGGCGCGAAAGCUAGGGGAGCGAACGGGAUUAGAUACCCCGGUAGUCCUAGCCUUAAACGAUGAAUGCUUGGUGUCUGGGGUUUUACAGUCCCCGGGUGCCGUCGCUAACGCUUUAAGCAUUCCGCCUGGGGAGUACGGUCGCAAGACUG
This 374-nucleotide ribosomal RNA is filed under the name uncultured organism. RNAcentral describes it as "bacterial SSU rRNA". It matches the Rfam family "Bacterial small subunit ribosomal RNA", at positions 526 to 896 of the family's 1533-position model. The record is from RNAcentral.